This 464-nucleotide ribosomal RNA is filed under the name uncultured bacterium. RNAcentral describes it as "partial 16S ribosomal RNA". It matches the Rfam family "Bacterial small subunit ribosomal RNA", at positions 339 to 795 of the family's 1533-position model. The record is from RNAcentral.
CUACGGGCUGCUGCAGUGAGGAAUUUUGCGCAAUGGGGGAAACCCUGACGCAGCAACGCCGCGUGAGCGAAGAAGGCCCUCGGGUCGUAAAGCUCUGUCAAGUGGGAAAAAGGCCUUUCGAAUAACACUCGAAUGGUUUGAUGGUACCACUGGAGGAAGCACCGGCUAACUCCGUGCCAGCAGCCGCGGUAAUACGGAGGGUGCAAGCGUUGUUCGGAAUUACUGGGCGUAAAGGGCGUGCAGGCGGUUUGGCAAGUCAGAUGUGAAAGCCCUGGGCUUAACCCGGGAAGUGCAUUUGAAACUGCCUUUCUUGAGUAUGGGAGAGGAGAGUGGAAUUCCCAGUGUAGAGGUGAAAUUCGUAGAUAUUGGGAGGAACACCCGUGGCGAAGGCGACUCUCUGGACCAAUACUGACGCUGAGACGCGAAAGCGUGGGUAGCAAACAGGAUUAGAUACCCCCGUAGUC